UAGCCAAUUAAGCCUAGCUUAGUGUUGGGGUUCGCAUUCCAGCGGCCUCUAAAACCAGUGGCGGUGCCUGUAGGCUCUACGCGUAGUAAUACUUCUCGCUAUAGAGUCCUGCUGGUUACCUGCCAGAACCCCCAUAUUUUUAUA
RNAcentral lists this unclassified non-coding RNA (144 nucleotides) under uncultured Phialocephala. Its description in RNAcentral is "partial internal transcribed spacer 2". The record is from RNAcentral. Lineage: Eukaryota; Fungi; Ascomycota; Leotiomycetes; Helotiales.